CAUCCCACCUCGUCCUUAUCACCCGAUCCGAUAAUCUCUUUCAUUUGGCUUUCACUUUUCCAAGUUUUCUUUUAUCCGAGACAUUGAAAACCCUAGACGUUUCUCUGCAGAAAAAUCCUUCCACCAACCAUGAUCUUACCAAAGCCUCGUAAAAGUCUUGAGUUCGAAUGGAGAAACAGGGAUUCUUCUCAUCCUCAUCAGGGUUUUCAACAACAAAAGAUGAUGACUACAAGUAUGGAGAUGGAGAUUUUGUGAAAUAAUAAGAUGAAGUUAUGGUGACAAUUUCCUAACAAGUUAUGCCGGAACCUGUAACCUGUUUUGCAAUGCCUUAGCGAUUCGAAGAGAUAGUAACGAUUGUGAGCUUUUCUGGCAAGGGCCAAUAAGAACCUCAUGCUUGAGGUGGACUUUGAGCCAUUCAGCGCUUUGUUUUCUUCCAUCUCACUUUCCAAUUCUAUUGGUAAUGGUGUGGAUCAUGUCCUUUGGUUUCUAUGUGGCGACUAAUUUCAGGAUAGUUUUUAUUCUAGUUUCAAUUUUAAAUUCCGCGAUAAGUCAAUUUAAGUCGUGCAAAAUUUUAAAUUUUGUUCACAUGUUUAAUUGUAGGCGAUGCGAUGGUGAUGGAGCUUAAAUGGAGGCUAAAUUUGUUAAACACUUACCUGUGCAUUGAUGGAAACUAAUUUAUAAAUGAUCUACAUAAUAGGACUCGAUGAUGUUUUUGUAAAGACUGUGAUUGGGGUACUUGGAGAGCUCCAAAUUGGAUGAAAUGCCCAGCGGCGGUGUCUUUUGGUUCUGGAGGAGAACUUGUUUCAUAUAAAAAUAGUCAGUCAGCUACCAAUCCACCUACUGGAGGUUCCGAGGAUACAGGGAUUAUUCAACAUUCCCUUAACGUAUUGAUUUUUGAGUAACUGAGGGGAGCUGUUGCAAGUGUUUUUGUUGAUUUUACUACGCCACCCAGCAAUGCCGAAUAUAACUGCCUCAUUAAUGUUAUACUGGAUCCAAGUGGAUGUUAUACGAUGCAAUACUUUGGAGAUGUGUCACUAGGUCAUAUGAUUAUGAGGCAUAAAACUUCUGUAAUCCUAUAGGAGAGACUACAUUAAAUGUAGAUUAAGUGGCAGUCAUAGUAGAUUGAUUUGUUCAGUGUGAUUUUGAGUUGGAAAUGCAGGAUGAAUUUAUCCUUUUUUGGUUGUAAUGUAAAACUUCAUCUUUUAAAUGCAAUGUAUACCAGAUUUCAGAUU
Papaver somniferum (opium poppy) is the source of this 1232-nucleotide long non-coding RNA. RefSeq lists it as uncharacterized. Lineage: Eukaryota; Viridiplantae; Streptophyta; Magnoliopsida; Ranunculales; Papaveraceae. The record is from RefSeq and is a predicted model, not a curated record. The transcript has 6 exons.